GCAAGCUAACGCCAGCUGUUAUAAAAGACUCUUGCUUCACUGUUACUUUAUCCUCAGGAUUUUGGCCGCUUGCACUUCAUGUUGUAUCUGCUUCUUCUAUGCUUUUUUUAAUAUGUUUACUGAAACAAUGUUCUCUACUUAAUCAUCUGUGUGGCAGGCAUCACCACAGCUCAUGCACCAAGCAAAUUCCACCAUUACAGACUUGCAUCCCCCUGGUCUCAUCGCUACAGUCCAGGAGCAAUACUCACCUACUUGAUUCUGGCAUGGGUGGGGCUGAGCAAACCAAGCUACGGAUCUUGUGUCUUCAUGGAUACAGGCAAACUGGCACCACCUUCAGGGAAAAGACAGGAGCUUUCAGGAAGCUGCUGAAGAAGCAUGCAGAGUUUGUGUUUGUGACAUCGCCAGUGAGAGUGCCACCACUGACACCAGGCAGUGAUGGGGGUGAUAAGGACGACGGUGGAUGUGGGUGGUGGUUCAGUCAGCCCAAUGAUUACUUCAAGGCCCAGGAUGAGUCCGAGUGUGUGAAAGGAUACAAUGAUUCUCUGAAGGCUGUAGUAGACUUUGUGAAUGAAAAUGGGCCCUUUGAUGGCCUCCUGGGCUUCAGCCAAGGAGGAGCCAUGCUAGGCCUCCUCUGUGGUCUCCAGCAACAGGGAAACCUACCCUUCUCUUUCAAGUUUGCCAUCUUUGCCUCAGCCUUUAAGUCACGUUCCUCACCACACCAAGCACUCUACUCAGAGAAGAUAACUCUGCCCACCCUACAUGUGUUUGGUGAAGAAGACCAGGUGAUACAGAAACACAUGAGUGACGAGUUCCUGCAGUACUUCCAUGAGCCUCAGACACUGGUGCAUCCUGGAGGUCACUUCAUCCCUGCCACAGGGGCACAAAAGGCCACCUAUGUCACCUUCCUGGAGAAAAUGGCACAGCUGACAUAACUUAAGUGAAUUUUGAAGCAAUCUUUAAGACUGGAUGCACUGAAAUGACUGGUCAGAGAGAGAGAGAGAGAGAGAGAGAGAGAGAGAGAGAGAGAGAGAGAGAGAGAGAGAGAGAGAGAGAGAGAGAGAGAGAGAGAGAGAGAGAGAGAGAGAGAGAGAGAGAG
This 1096-nucleotide unclassified non-coding RNA is filed under the name Portunus trituberculatus (swimming crab). Its description in RNAcentral is "esterase OVCA2-like, transcript variant X1". Lineage: Eukaryota; Metazoa; Arthropoda; Malacostraca; Decapoda; Portunidae. The record is from RNAcentral.